AUAUAUUACAUGCAAUAAAAAUAUGUCCAUUCAGUUUUAAUCUAUUCAUAUGUGAAUUUUAAGCUAUGUCUAUAACGAUGUUAUUUGAAUAAGAAUGCCACCUUCAGUAGCAACUACAGAUGUUAGUGAAUGUUCUCUCUUUUAGUAUUUCUUUCUUUUAUACAGCAAUUUCUAAAAAUAUAUCUAUAUUUGUCUGGGCCGGCAUUGAGCCAGAGGCAAGAAUGCUCUUGGGUAGACGUUCAAAUUGGAGGAGAAUUCGCCACGUGAUGGCUCUGACUUGGAGACCAGAAUCCUCUUAGAGAAGAGAGGAGACCUGGGCCGAAGGGAGAUGCUGAUGGCAGCGAGACAGAACGGAGAUUCCCCCGGCCAGGCUCCAUGGAGCCCUCCUGUCCAUCCACGCCUCGCCUGGCCUGUGAGGAUGUGGACGAACACUAACGGUUUCUAAGAGCUCAAGCUGCACCCCUAGGUGGACCCUGGGGCCCCCUGAAGUGCUGGCCUGGGAAAACUCAGCCUAAACAGGUUACCGUGGCCCCCGCCAGCUCCUGAUGGUAGAACCCUGUCCUGAUGGUAGGACCCUGUCCAUCGGCCUGACAACUUGCAGAUGUAAAAGGCAGUGUUGUUAUCCACAGUCACCAUGCGGUGUCCCAGUCCCAGGACCUGUAUUAUAACCGGAAGUUUGCACCUUCUGAAGAAGGCAUGAGCCUGACUUCGGUGUUUCCUGGUUCACAAACCCAGGUCCAGGCAGCAGGAAGCCAUUCCUCGUCAUGGACCGGCGGGAAGGAAACCCCGGUGACGGAAAAGGCAGUGGAGACCUCAGCAAACGACAUGGAGACGUGGGCUGUGAGGUGACACGCCCCGGAGGUGAGGUAAUGAAGGGGGCUGCCGGCCUCCCCGGCUGAGAGAAAAUAUCAUUGAUCGAACGUGGGAGGCAUCUGGGAAGGCAUUUGCCGGAACAGUAGGUGCCUGUGAGUCUCAGGGGAUGUGACCAUUGAAGUGACUUGAGCGAAGUAGCCAGGUGGGCCCAGCAGCAGCCGCCGGAGGCACCGGAGGCAGAGUGUGCGAACGUCUGCUGCCAUUGACUCAGUUUCUUCUCCUCCUCUUUCCGCUCCUGCGGCCCAACAAGCCAGAUCGAAAGGACGACGCGAUGUGGCCAAAUCCGCUCACCUCCGUCCUUGCGGUCGCUGACGCUGCGCCAGUCCCUCCUGGUCACCCAGGUAUGAUUAUGCAAAGCUAAGAAUCCAAGAAAGAAUCUCCAGAGAAGGAAUUAAAAAGUAAGAUUUUAGGUGAAAGUUCCCAUCUCGAUCCUGAAAGAAAACACACCAACUGAGCAGAGUCUCCAGCACAGAGACCCCAGGACAACUCAGUGUGCACCGUGAGGAGGCUUUCAAUCAAGCAAAUAAAGCCUGGUGUAUAUCAUUAAGGACAAAGACAAUGUACCCUUCGUUUUUAAGGUCCAUCCACGCUGUUGCAAAUGGCAGGAAAAGAAGGCACAAGAAGCCAGUCCGCCCAAGGAGGCAUUGCCGUCAGAGCUAGAGCGUGAGUCCGCCUGCGUCUGUGCCCCAGGGCUUGUCCCGGCGGGGGGGGGGGGGGGGGGCGGCUGUAGAGGUGUGUGCUUUCCUGCUCUCUCAGUGUGCGUGCCCACAGAGCCAUCCACGCACGACUGAUUGAUUGAUUGAUUGAUUGAUUGUCCAUCGCGUUUUCCUAGCCAUCCCCGUGAUCGGAGUGGACUUCCUAUGCCUAGGGCAUUGCCUCGCAGUCGUCACUAGGCCAGGGAGGCAUAUUUUGUCAUGUUCUAAACGCCUUCACAUGUUACUUCCCUUGAAAUGUAAGAACUACUAGAAAGGGCAAUUUUUUUUUUGUCAUCAAAAACUGUUCAACAU
Myotis brandtii (Brandt's bat) is the source of this 1880-nucleotide long non-coding RNA. RefSeq lists it as uncharacterized. The record is from RefSeq and is a predicted model, not a curated record. The transcript has 7 exons. NCBI's taxonomy places the organism in Eukaryota, Metazoa, Chordata, Mammalia, Chiroptera, Vespertilionidae.